GACAACCAGGAGGUUGGCUUAGAAGCAGCCAUCCUUUAAAGAAAGCGUAAUAGCUCACUGGUCUAGUUAAGCCGGCCUGCGCCGAAAAUGUAUCGGGGCUCAAGCCGUGUACCGAAGCUGCGGAUGUGAUCUCUGAUCACGUGGUAGCGGAGCGUUCCGUAAGCCUGCGAAGGGUGUCCGUGAGGCCGCCUGGAGGUAUCGGAAGUGAGAAUGCUGACAUGAGUAGCGACAAACAGUGUGAGAAACACUGUCGCCGAAAGUCCAAGGGUUCCUGCGCAAGGUUAAUCCACGCAGGGUGAGCCGGCCCCUAAGGCGAGGCCGAAAGGCGUAGUCGAUGGGAACCACGUUAAUAUUCGUGGGCCUGGCGGAGGUGACGGAUUGGAAAGCGUGUACGAUCUUAUCGGAUUGAUCGUGCUGUGGACCGGUUCCAGGAAAUAGCCCCGCCAUACAGACCGUACCCCAAACCGACACAGGUGGACUGGUAGAGUAUACCCAGGCGCUUGAGAGAAUGGUGUUGAAGGAACUCGGCAAAUUGCCCUCGUAACUUCGGAAGAAGAGGGCCCCGUUGUGGCGCAAGCCAUGGCGGGGGGCACAGACCAGGGGGUAGCGACUGUUUACUAAAAACACAGGGCUCUGCGAAGCCACACAAGGCGACGUAUAGGGUCUGACGCCUGCCCGGUGCCGGAAGGUUAAGAGGAGGAGUGCAAGCUCUGAAUUGAAGCCCCGGUAAACGGCGGCCGUAACUAUAACGGUCCUAAGGUAGCGAAAUUCCUUGUCGGGUAAGUUCCGACCUGCACGAAUGGCGUAACGACUUCCCCGCUGUCUCCAACACCAACUCAGCGAAAUUGAACUCUCCGUGAAGAUGCGGAGUUCCCGCGGUCAGACGGAAAGACCCCGUGCACCUUUACUACAGCUUUGCAGUGGUGCUAGGGACUUCAUGUGUAGGAUAGGUGGGAGGCUUGGAAGCCUGGGCGCCAGCCCGGGUGGAGCCAACCUUGAAAUACCACCCUUGAAGUCUCUGGCAUCUAACCGUGGCCCGU
This 1040-nucleotide ribosomal RNA is filed under the name Azospirillum melinis. RNAcentral describes it as "partial 23S ribosomal RNA". It matches the Rfam family "Bacterial large subunit ribosomal RNA", at positions 1088 to 2236 of the family's 2925-position model. Lineage: Bacteria; Pseudomonadati; Pseudomonadota; Alphaproteobacteria; Rhodospirillales; Azospirillaceae. The record is from RNAcentral.